AAAACGGCCCUUUUCAGGGCCACCACAUACGGAUUGUGCUUGCUGU
This is a non-coding RNA of Macrostomum lignano, 46 nucleotides long. The record is from Rfam. Lineage: Eukaryota; Metazoa; Platyhelminthes; Macrostomidae.